Molecule: ribosomal RNA, 254 nt
Filed under: uncultured bacterium
Lineage: Bacteria
Description: partial 16S ribosomal RNA
Rfam family: Bacterial small subunit ribosomal RNA
Source: RNAcentral
CACGUAGGGUGCGAGCGUUGUCCGGAAUUAUUGGGCGUAAAGAGCUCGUAGGCGGUGUGUCGCGUCGGCCGUGAAAACCUGCAGCUUAACUGUGGGCUUGCGGUCGAUACGGGCAUCACUGGAGUUCGGCAGGGGAGACUGGAAUUCCUGGUGUAGCGGUGAAAUGCGCAGAUAUCAGGAGGAACACCGGUGGCGAAGGCGGGUCUCUGGGCCUUACCUGACGCUCAGGCGCGAAAGCUAGGGGAGCGAACAGG